ACGGGGGGUGCAAGCGUUAUUCGGAAUCAUUGGGCGUAAAGAGCGCGUAGGCGGUCCCUUAAGUCAGAUGUGAAAGCCCAGGGCUCAACCUUGGAAGUGCAUUUGAUACUAGGGGUCUUGAGUAUGGGAGAGGGAAGUGGAAUUCCUGGUGUAGAGGUGAAAUUCGUAGAUAUCAGGAGGAACACCGGUGGCGAAGGCGACUUCCUGGACCAAUACUGACGCUGAGGCGCGAAGGCGUGGGUAGCAAACAGG
RNAcentral lists this ribosomal RNA (252 nucleotides) under uncultured bacterium. RNAcentral's name for it is "partial 16S ribosomal RNA". It matches the Rfam family "Bacterial small subunit ribosomal RNA", at positions 525 to 776 of the family's 1533-position model. The record is from RNAcentral.